UCAGCUGCGUAUCCACCAGCUCACCGCCGUUGCUUGACUGCAGGCGCGCCAAGGCACGCGUGCUGGCCCUGUGCGGCAAUGAGUCACUCUACCAAAGUAGACGAUGGCGCAGGGUGGCUAGGGCGCCACGGUGCGGAUGCAUACCCGUGCAGCGGCGAGGAGUCGGAGCUUGAUGAGGGAGACUGGGAGGAGGGAGAGGAGCAGGAGGAAGAGGAGGAGAGCGAUCGCUGCUCCAGCGACUCUUCUGGCGGAGACGAGAACGCCGACGGCAAGGAGGCGGAGGAGGAACCGGAGAGAGAGGAGCAGGAGGAAGACGAUCACGGUAGCAGCGGCGUUCUGGAGGAUGACGUGAAGACAGAGCCGCCAGUUGCUGCUGCCACCGGCAGCAGCGGCACCUUUGCCGCCACUUCGCCCUCCGCGGCUGCGUCGCUUGGUGGAGGAAGUGGGGGCAGCGCGUUCGGCGCUCUCGCUACGUCUGUCGAAGUGUCUCCGCCACCACCUGCGCCUUCGGUUUUCGCGGCUUCUCCCUUGGCGGCGGCUGCGGUGCCGCCUCAGCCGUUUUCGGCAAGGACGACACCCGCCUUUGCCAGCCACACUACGCUUCAAGAGCAGCGGCCGUUGAACACUGCCCCGGCUUCCACUUUUCAGCCAACCGCCGCUGCAUCAGAUGCAGCCACACAGCAGCAGCUAGACACGACUACGGCCCCCCUUCACUUUGUGGACUUCGAACGGUCGCUUGGACAGAAAUUGUCGAGCAGCGAAUGGCACCGCGCUCGCAGUAAGGCUGAUGAGGUGCAGGACGUGAAGCGCGCCCUUGCGCGGUACGACCUGGUGCUGCCAACAGAUAAAUUUGACGAGGCGAUCGAGAAAGCACUGUAUGGAAGCUGAGCGCGUCUGCCAUGUCUCUUGUGCGCGUGCGUGCGUAGACGUCCUCUCCCAACAACGUUGCAAGAGAAGACGAAUAGCAUGAUGUGUUGGAUUGCUACGUAUGUGUACUUUUUUUUGAGGGUGGGGGGCUGCCGAGGUGCGAUGCCGACGCACAGUCGCUGCUCAAAGCCGAAGAGAAAAAUGACGAAACACAUCAGCGACUUGGCGUCUGAUGAACUUGCAUGGCUGAAAAAGCUACGAUACGGAUAGCCACGAUGCAUGAGGACAGCGUGAGUUGAGCGCUCCUCCCUUUCCCCCAGUACCAUGAUGGCAGGACACUAACGGCUUUUCGCUUGCGUUUUUUUUUCUUGCCAACCGAUCAUGCAUCCCAUUUUCCUCAAAUCCUUGAUACCUUCACGCAUUUUUUUUUCAUGCCUGGGGUGCGUUCGCGCAUGAGCAUCAAACAG
This 1334-nucleotide unclassified non-coding RNA is filed under the name Leishmania donovani. RNAcentral's name for it is "gene:LdHU3.35.2760(CDS-product:hypothetical_prote in_conserved)". Lineage: Eukaryota; Euglenozoa; Kinetoplastea; Trypanosomatida; Trypanosomatidae. The record is from RNAcentral.